Cuculus canorus (common cuckoo) is the source of this 1131-nucleotide long non-coding RNA. RefSeq lists it as uncharacterized. NCBI's taxonomy places the organism in Eukaryota, Metazoa, Chordata, Aves, Cuculiformes, Cuculidae. The transcript is spliced from 3 exons. The record is from RefSeq and is a predicted model, not a curated record.
GGGCUCGGCGCCGAGGGGCGGUAGGGGCUCGCGCUGAGGCGUGGUUGGAACUGUAGCUUUGGAUGAAUUACUUGGUUGAUUUCAAGCACUACUUCAUGUGUCGUUUUCCUUAUUUUUUAGAAGAAAGAGUAAAGCCCAAAAAGAAAGAGUCGUGCAAAGGCAACAAGUACUGUAUGACUUCUGUCACAUCUGACAGGUUAGACAUAAAGAAUGGUGUUUCCUCCAGGUUUUUUUUUAUACCUGCUGGUACUAUAAGCUUUUAGAGGGAAAAUUUUUAUAGUGUGCAUUGUUUUCUUUGGUUUUUCCUAGCAAAGUACUGAAUGAAGGCGAUGCUUCAUUUAUCCUGAAAGUUACACAGGGUCUUACAGAUGCACUGGUGGAAUAUUGUCAGCGGUCUGCAUCAAACAAAGUAAUGUGAAUUAUGCUUUCGUUUUCUUCUACAAAUCUACAGAUUCUGGCAAAUAUGCAUUUUUUUGUUGCAGGUAUUUUAAUUAAACGAAAUUUCCGUGGAGACUAUAUUGUAAGUUUUGCUCAUUAAAUACUUGGAUUUUUGUAGUGAGUAUAGGAUAAACUUAAAGCUUUCCUCUUGAACACUCUUAAUACUUUCUGUUCAAACAUGCUUUCAUUUUAAUAGAAGGUAAAAAUCAUUUUGUCUCUUCUUUCCUAUGCUUUUUCUGCUACUUUUGUCCCUUUUAAUUUCAACUUGAGCUUUUCUCAUCUCUGCUCACCUCCAUGACAUUCUUUGUUCUGUAUCCCAUUUCCGUUCCCAGUCUUCACUUCAUUCACGUUGUAAAGAAACAUUAUCAACGUUGGUUUCUUUCUUAAACGACUUUUUGUCCUACUCCUUGGGCUGUUUCCUUUCUCCACUAUUAGAGGUGCCUUUCUCCACUAUUAGAAACCCAGAUUUUCCCCUCUCUGCUGUUACUUUUGAUCGACUUGUCUUUACGUAGACAUAGUUUUGAGUACUUAUUUGGGGCUGCCGUAGUUGCCACAUUCGUUCCCAAAACCUCCAGUUUACAUUCUAUUAUACCAUAAUCUCCACAGUUUCCAAACUUGGAAUGACUUUUCAUUCCUAUGUUGUCAACAGGGAUGAUAGGCGCUUCCCUCUUCUUGGUGAUCCGUUCGACAUCU